RNAcentral lists this ribosomal RNA (461 nucleotides) under uncultured bacterium. RNAcentral describes it as "SSU rRNA". It matches the Rfam family "Bacterial small subunit ribosomal RNA", at positions 26 to 518 of the family's 1533-position model. The record is from RNAcentral.
AGAAUCAACGCUGGCGGCGUGCCUAACACGUGCAAGUCGCACGAGAAAGGGAGUUCGCUCCUGAGUAAAGUGGCGCACGGGUGAGUAACACGUGAAUCAUCUACCUCCGAAUGGGGAAUAACUGAGAGAAAUCUUAGCUAAUACCGCAUAAUACCUACGGGUCAAAGCAGCAAUGCGUUUGGAGAGGAGUUCGCGGUCGAUUAGUUAGUUGGCGGGGUAAUGGCCCACCAAGACGAUGAUCGAUAUCCGGCCUGAGAGGGCGCACGGACACACUGGAACUGAAACACGGUCCAGACUCCUACGGGAGGCAGCAGUGGGGGAAUUUUGCGCAAUGGGGGAAACCCUGACGCAGCAACGCCGCGUGGAGGAUGAAAUAUCUUGGUAUGUAAACUCCUUUCGAUGGGGAAGAUAAUGACGGUACCCAUAGAAGAAGCCCCGGCUAACUUCGUGCCAGCAGCCGC